GUCUCUGUGGUGCAUUAGUUCAGCGCAUUCGGCUGUGAAUUGGACAGUUGGUGGUUCAAGUCCAUCCAGGGACG
This 74-nucleotide transfer RNA is filed under the name Hippoglossus stenolepis (Pacific halibut). RNAcentral describes it as "tRNA-His". It matches the Rfam family "tRNA". Rfam says of the family: Transfer RNA (tRNA) molecules are approximately 80 nucleotides in length. Their secondary structure includes four short double-helical elements and three loops (D, anti-codon, and T loops). Further hydrogen bonds mediate the characteristic L-shaped molecular structure. tRNAs have two regions of fundamental functional importance: the anti-codon, which is responsible for specific mRNA codon recognition, and the 3' end, to which the tRNAs corresponding amino acid is attached (by aminoacyl-tRNA synthetases). tRNAs cope with the degeneracy of the genetic code in two manners: having more than one tRNA (with a specific anti-codon) for a particular amino acid; and 'wobble' base-pairing, i.e. permitting non-standard base-pairing at the 3rd anti-codon position. The record is from RNAcentral. Lineage: Eukaryota; Metazoa; Chordata; Actinopteri; Pleuronectiformes; Pleuronectidae.